Molecule: transfer RNA, 58 nt
Filed under: Apaloderma vittatum (bar-tailed trogon)
Lineage: Eukaryota; Metazoa; Chordata; Aves; Trogoniformes; Trogonidae
Rfam family: tRNA
About the family: Transfer RNA (tRNA) molecules are approximately 80 nucleotides in length. Their secondary structure includes four short double-helical elements and three loops (D, anti-codon, and T loops).
Source: Rfam by way of RNAcentral
UAGCUCAGUCAGUUGAGCGUGGUGCUAAGAACACCAAGGUCACGGGUUCGAUUCCUGU